AGCGCAGACGGUUUAUUAAGUCUGAUGUGAAAUCCCGAGGCCCAACCUCGGAACUGCAUUGGAAACUGAUUUACUUGAGUGCGAUAGAGGCAAGUGGAACUCCAUGUGUAGCGGUGAAAUGCGUAGAUAUGUGGAAGAACACCAGUGGCGAAAGCGGCUUGCUAGAUCGUAACUGACGUUGAGGCUCGAAAGUAUGGGUAGCAAACGGGAUUAGAUACCCCGGUAGUCCAUACCGUAAACGAUGGGUGCUAGUUGUUAAGAGGUUUCCGCCUCCUAGUGACGUAGCAAACGCAUUAAGCACCCCGCCUGAGGAGUACGGCCGCAAGGCUAAAACUUAAAGGAAUUGACGGGGACCCGCACAAGCGGUGGAGCAUGUGGUUUAAUUCGAAGAUACGCGAAAAACCUUACCAGGUCUUGACAUACCAAUGAUCGCUUUUGUAAUGAAAGCUUUUCUUCGGAACAUUGGAUACAGGUGGUGCAUGGUCGUCGUCAGCUCGUGUCGUGAGAUGUUGGGUUAAGUCCCGCAACGAGCGCAACCCUUGUUAUUAGUUGCCAGCAUUUAGUUGGGCACUCUAAUGAGACUGCCGGUGAUAAACCGGAGGAAGGUGGGGACGACGUCAGAUCAUCAUGCCCCUUAUGACCUGGGCAACACACGUGCUACAAUGGGAAGUACAACGAGUCGCAAACUGGCGACGGUAAGCUAAUCUCUUAAAACUUCUCUCAGUUCGGACUGGAGUCUGCAACUCGACUCCACGAAGGCGGAAUCGCUAGUAAUCGCGAAUCAGCAUGUCGCGGUGAAUACG
This 803-nucleotide ribosomal RNA is filed under the name Oenococcus oeni. RNAcentral describes it as "bacterial SSU rRNA". It matches the Rfam family "Bacterial small subunit ribosomal RNA", at positions 568 to 1370 of the family's 1533-position model. The record is from RNAcentral. Lineage: Bacteria; Bacillati; Bacillota; Bacilli; Lactobacillales; Lactobacillaceae.